GCUAUACAUGCAAGUCGAGCGAACAGAUAAGGAGCUUGCUCCUUUGACGUUAGCGGCGGACGGGUGAGUAACACGUGGGUAACCUACCUAUAAGACUGGGAUAACUUCGGGAAACCGGAGCUAAUACCGGAUAACAUUUGGAACCGCAUGGUUCUAAAGUGAAAGAUGGUUUUGCUAUCACUUAUAGAUGGACCCGCGCCGUAUUAGCUAGUUGGUAAGGUAACGGCUUACCAAGGCGACGAUACGUAGCCGACCUGAGAGGGUGAUCGGCCACACUGGAACUGAGACACGGUCCAGACUCCUACGGGAGGCAGCAGUAGGGAAUCUUCCGCAAUGGGCGAAAGCCUGACGGAGCAACGCCGCGUGAGUGAUGAAGGGUUUCGGCUCGUAAAACUCUGUUAUUAGGGAAGAACAAACGUGUAAGUAACUGUGCACGUCUUGACGGUACCUAAUCAGAAAGCCACGGCUAACUACGUGCCAGCAGCCGCGGUAAUACGUAGGUGGCAAGCGUUAUCCGGAAUUAUUGGGCGUAAAGCGCGCGUAGGCGGUUUCUUAAGUCUGAUGUGAAAGCCCACGGCUCAACCGUGGAGGGUCAUUGGAAACUGGGAAACUUGAGUGCAGAAGAGGAAAGUGGAAUUCCAUGUGUAGCGGUGAAAUGCGCAGAGAUAUGGAGGAACACCAGUGGCGAAGGCGACUUUCUGGUCUGUAACUGACGCUGAUGUGCGAAAGCGUGGGGAUCAAACAGGAUUAGAUACCCUGGUAGUCCACGCCGUAAACGAUGAGUGCUAAGUGUUAGGGGGUUUCCGCCCCUUAGUGCUGCAGCUAACGCAUUAAGCACUCCGCCUGGGGAGUACGACCGCAAGGUUGAAACUCAAAGGAAUUGACGGGGACCCGCACAAGCGGUGGAGCAUGUGGUUUAAUUCGAAGCAACGCGAAGAACCUUACCAAAUCUUGACAUCCUUUGAAAACUCUAGAGAUAGAGCCUUCCCCUUCGGGGGACAAAGUGACAGGUGGUGCAUGGUUGUCGUCAGCUCGUGUCGUGAGAUGUUGGGUUAAGUCCCGCAACGAGCGCAACCCUUAAGCUUAGUUGCCAUCAUUAAGUUGGGCACUCUAGGUUGACUGCCGGUGACAAACCGGAGGAAGGUGGGGAUGACGUCAAAUCAUCAUGCCCCUUAUGAUUUGGGCUACACACGUGCUACAAUGGACAAUACAAAGGGCAGCUAAACCGCGAGGUCAUGCAAAUCCCAUAAAGUUGUUCUCAGUUCGGAUUGUAGUCUGCAACUCGACUACAUGAAGCUGGAAUCGCUAGUAAUCGUAGAUCAGCAUGCUACGGUGAAUACGUUCCCGGGUCUUGUACACACCGCCCGUCACACCACGAGAGUUUGUAACACCCGAAGCCGGUGGAGUAACCAUUUAUGGAGCUAGCCGUCGAAGGUGGACA
This 1441-nucleotide ribosomal RNA is filed under the name Staphylococcus edaphicus. RNAcentral's name for it is "bacterial SSU rRNA". It matches the Rfam family "Bacterial small subunit ribosomal RNA". Lineage: Bacteria; Bacillati; Bacillota; Bacilli; Caryophanales; Staphylococcaceae. The record is from RNAcentral.